This 472-nucleotide ribosomal RNA is filed under the name uncultured bacterium. RNAcentral describes it as "partial 16S ribosomal RNA". It matches the Rfam family "Bacterial small subunit ribosomal RNA", at positions 28 to 507 of the family's 1533-position model. The record is from RNAcentral.
GACGAACGCUGGCGGCGUGCUUAACACAUGCAAGUCGAACGCUGAAGCUUGGUGCUUGCACUGGGUGGAUGAGUGGCGAACGGGUGAGUAAUAAGUGAGUAACCUGCCCUUGACUCUGGGAUAAGCCUGGGAAACUGGGUCUAAUACUGGAUACGACAUGUCACCGCAUGGUGGUGUGUGGAAAGGGUUUUACUGGUUUUGGAUGGGCUCACGGCCUAUCAGCUUGUUGGUGGGGUAAUGGCCCACCAAGGCGACGACGGGUAGCCGGCCUGAGAGGGUGACCGGCGACACUGGGACUGAGAGACGGCCCAGACUCCUACGGGAGGCAGCAGGGGGGAAUAUUGCACAAUGGGCGGAAGCCUGAUGCAGCGACGCCGCGUGAGGGAUGACGGCCUUCGGGUUGUAAACCUCUUUCAGCACGGAAGAAGCGAAAGUGACGGUACGUGCAGAAGAAGCGCCGGCUAACUACGUG